Molecule: long non-coding RNA, 2270 nt
Organism: Equus quagga
Lineage: Eukaryota; Metazoa; Chordata; Mammalia; Perissodactyla; Equidae
Exons: 4
Source: RefSeq, a predicted model, not a curated record
GUGGGCCCUGCCCCACGGAGAUUCAAGGCAGCCAGGAGGGAAGACCAAGGCCCACAGAUGAUGGAGCAGCAACUCCCAGGCAAGGUGUCACAGCCAACUUCCAACAUAAGCCCCUGGAGAUCGAUCAGAGGCCGUCACCGAUGGUAACUGCUGCCAGAAACAGUCGUGGUUCAGGCAGAAAGCACAUCCUGCUUGUCCGGGGAGCGUGUGCCCAGGUGUUCUCAGGACACGCAGAGAAAUCCGAAGAAACCAGGCAUAGCCCUCGACAUUCGAGAAGAACCUGUUUUCUGCUGGCAAACGCAGUCCCGACCAGAAUCCCGUCGGUCCACUUUCUGGUGUGGCGGCGAGGCCCCCAGGCGUAUCCUUUCCUGAUGAGCAGAAUCUAACUGCCGAUUUGGAGGUCUCUACAAGCGCCAAACAGCUUCUAAGGGGCCGGAAAGUAGUUCCGACAUCUGGAGGAAACCCGGCAACGUUAAUAGUCCCUUAAAUAUGUGUGCAUUUCAUCGCUGAGACGGGUGUUUCACGGAGACGAAACCGUCGGGCGCGUGUGAAGGUCCCCGCCGAGCUCCUGGCACAUCUCUGCUGACAGAGCUCCCUGAGCUGUGAUGCUUAGAAAGUUCUUUCCCCGUCCCAGGAAACGUUUGCUGACUGCUUCCUGAUCAUUUUUGCUCACUCUUCUACGUCCUGCUCUCUGAGGCCACAGGGACGACUCAUUCCGGGCACUGGCCUUCAGACGGCUUUGCGUCCUCUCAAGGUGGCUCUGUCCACUUCUACUGACCAGCCUUCGUGGCACGUGGUUCUGGAUCCUCUCACGUCCCGCUCCCCCAUCAUCAGGACCUGCUUCCAUGGUCAAAACCCUUUAACCAAACUCUGAAGUGCCGCGUCCGACGGUCACGUUUUAAUCCUCAUUCUCACUCAUCUCUUCUUCUGCAUCGCAAGAACAGUCCACUGCUUUCUCCUGGGGUUAGAAUCUAAGACUCUGCCCAGGACAAGCUCUAUGGCCAUAGACAAGUUUCUUAACUGCCUCAGUUUCCCCAUCUGCAAAGGGAAGUAACUGUGUUCCUCCCAAGGUUGAUGUGAGUACUGAAUUAUGAGGUAGUAACCUUCUUGCGCAGAGCCCAGCACCUAGGAAGCACUCGACAAACAUCAGCUGGUCCUGUCGUGCCGUCUGGCGGCUGUUUUAUGACGUGCUUUGGGUAUAUUAUUUCAAGUGUUCAAACAACCUUUUCAGAAGUUAACACUGAGGCUCAGAGAGGUUGAGUAACUUUCCUGAGGUCCCACAGUUAACAUGCAGUGGAGGCGGGUUGGAACCAGGCUUGACUUUCAAAGACACGUUCUUCCCAUAGGGCCACCAGGCUCAGCCUGGCACGGCUCCUUCCCUCCUGCCUGCCUUCUGAAUGUGGGUGGUCCCAGGGUUGGGCCUCUUCCCCCCCAGAUUGCACAUUCUGAGUGAUCACGUCUCCCCCAUCGUCCUGACCACCCCCUCCAUCAAUUAUCCCCAAAUACAAAUCCUCCUCCAGCUGCCACCUCCCUCCGGAGCCCCAGACCCCUAUUUCCAAAGACGGUCCCCGGCCCCACCGAGCAGUCCGCAGGGGCCUCUCCCGUCUGUCCUCCUCCUGCCACGCAUCUCUAUCGGGAGGAGCGAAAUAGGCCUGGAUGCUUAAGCCAGGGUCCCGAGGGUAGAACUCUGAGCGCCAUCCUCGGAUCCGGGAAAGACGGGUGCUGCUUAUUAGGGAGGACGAGGGGGCCGGAGGGGUGACAGGCGAGGGACGCGAGGAGCCUCACAGGCUGUGCAUUGGUUCAUUCAGUUAUUCACUGAACAGAUAUUUACUGAGUGCCAGCAAAGCGCCCAUCACUGCCCUCGAUCCGGGGACACGAACGUGCCUAGGACGUGGCUCCUGGCCUCUGGGAGAGAAAGCUCGCCAACGACAAAGUAUAGCCAAAUGCCAGAGCCGGUGCGGGAGGGGGAGGGCCCUCAGCCCUUUCCACCUCCAUCCCCAAGAGGAAGAGUCACGGACCGCGCCUCACUUACCAGUGGGCAGGCGUAGUGGGUUGAACGGUGGCCCCCGAAAGAUACGCCCAUGUGUUAACCUUGAAUGUGACCUUAUUUGGAAUAAGGGUCUUUGAGGCUAUAAUGAAGUUAAGGAUCCUGAGAACGGAUCAUCCUGGAUUAUCUGGGUGGACCCGAAACCCACUGACAGGCGUCCUUAUAAGACAGACACACAGAGGACAGACCCACAGAGGAGGGGGCUGUGUGAAGAUGGAGCAGA